RNAcentral lists this ribosomal RNA (104 nucleotides) under Acholeplasma laidlawii. Its description in RNAcentral is "23S rRNA". It matches the Rfam family "Bacterial large subunit ribosomal RNA", at positions 2821 to 2925 of the family's 2925-position model. The record is from RNAcentral. Lineage: Bacteria; Bacillati; Mycoplasmatota; Mollicutes; Acholeplasmatales; Acholeplasmataceae.
CCAAUUAGUAAGCCCCUCAAAGACUAUGAGGUUGAUAGGCCAGGUGUGUAAGUACAGCGAUGUAUUCAGCUUACUGGUACUAAUAGGUCGAGGACUUAACCUUU